CCUACGGGAGACAGCAGUGGUGAAUAUUGCGCAAUGGGCGCACGCCUGACGCAGCGACGCCGCGUGAGGGAUGAAGGUCUUCGGAUCGUACACCUCUGUCAGCAGGGAAGAACGGUCACUGUGCUAAUCAGCAGUGAAUUGACGGUACCUGCAAAGGAAGCACCGGCUAACUCCGUGCCAGCAGCCGCGGUAAUACGGAGGGUGCGAGCGUUAAUCGGAAUUACUGGGCGUAAAGCGCUCGUAGGCGGUAUGUCAAGUCAAGGGUGAAAUCCCCGCGCUCAACGUGGGAACUGCCUUUGAAACUGGCAAACUGGAGUGUGUGAGAGGAUAGUGGAAUUCCAGGUGUAGGAGGGAAAUCCGUAGAUAUCUGGAGGAACAUCAGUGGCGAAGGCGACUAUCUGGCACAUAACUGACGCUGAGGAGCGAAAGCGUGGGUAGCAAACAGGAUUAGAUACACCGGUAGUC
This 465-nucleotide ribosomal RNA is filed under the name uncultured bacterium. RNAcentral's name for it is "partial 16S ribosomal RNA". It matches the Rfam family "Bacterial small subunit ribosomal RNA", at positions 338 to 795 of the family's 1533-position model. The record is from RNAcentral.